UGAAACCGUUCAGGGGUAAACCUGAGAAACCCGAAAGGUCGGCGGGGAAAUUCAUUCGCGUUUCGGCUGUACGGCGUCGAGUGGUAGAGUGACAGGCGGCUUUCGGGCUGCGUGCGCCUGCCUAUUGACGACCGUCGACGAACGCGUGCACUUUUCCUCUUGCCGGACGUCGCGAUCCGUUGGGUGUCGGUCUAAGGCCCGCGGUGGAGCCCUGCUGGUAUUUUUAUCGGCUGGACCCGUGGUGUUUCCCGACCGACUCGCUCGACGGCAUGCCAAUGGCGCAGGGCCGCGACAUAAUUCGCGUUCGACUCGCGGCAAGCGCGGGCGAUGUGACGGUGAUCGGACCUAGUGCCGUUCCUGUCCUCGUUCGACUGUGGCCGCGAUGUUCUCGAACAGACCCUGUGAAACGCCGAUCGGCGACGCUAUAGCUUUGGGUAC
RNAcentral lists this ribosomal RNA (438 nucleotides) under Neopocadius pilistriatus. RNAcentral describes it as "partial large subunit ribosomal RNA". The record is from RNAcentral. Lineage: Eukaryota; Metazoa; Arthropoda; Insecta; Coleoptera; Nitidulidae.